AUGUCACAACUUUAUUUGUUUGAUUCAUUUAGCUGUAUUGUUGUUUGGUUCAAGGAAACCACCAUUUUCUCCAUCGGCAGACUUCUUACUUGGACGUUAGUUAAAAUAUGGUGUAAGGGCAAGUUGUGGAGAUAUAGAUUGACCGCAAUAUUCGCAAGCAGGAAAUCAAAGUACAAAAACUGCCUCGUUCACCUACGCUUGAAACUGGAAUUGCUAAUUAGAAAAUUUGCAUUUCAUUUGGCAUUUUGCCAUUGUGCUAAAUUAUGUUCCUUGGCCAUUGAGUUGGAUAAUUAUCAUAGUUUCUAUUUUGGACUCACAACAUGUAAGGAGUUCCAUAAUGUUUUUUCUUGUCCAUACAUUGAAUGGCCAGUAAUUAUUUGUUGCAAGCAUUAG
This 393-nucleotide ribosomal RNA is filed under the name Triticum aestivum (bread wheat). RNAcentral's name for it is "partial small subunit ribosomal RNA". Lineage: Eukaryota; Viridiplantae; Streptophyta; Magnoliopsida; Poales; Poaceae. The record is from RNAcentral.